UAAAUACGUGCCAGCAGCCGCGGUAAUACGUAUGGGGCAAGCGUUGUCCGGAUUUACUGGGCGUAAAGGGCGCGUAGGCGGUUUGUUAAGUCGAAGGUGAAAUCCUCGGGCUCAACUCGAGAAUUGCCUUCGAUACUGGCAAACUAGAGUGGCGGAGAGGAAAGCGGAACUCUUGGUGUAACGGUGGAAUGUGUAGAUAUCAAGAGGAACACCGGUGGCGAAGGCGGCUUUCUGGACGCACACUGACGCUCAGGCGCGAAAGCGUGGGUAGCAAACAGGAUUAGAUACCCUGGUAGUCCACGCCAUAAACGAUGGGUACUAGGUGUCGGGGGUAUCGACCCCUCCGGUGCCGCAGUUAACGCACUAAGUACCCCGCCUGGGGAUUAUGGUCGCAAGGCUGAAACUCAAAGGAAUUGACGGGGCCCCGCACAAGCGGUGGAGCAUGUGGUUUAAUUCGACGCAACGCGAAGAACCUUACCUGGGCUUGACAUGCUUGGGACAGCGCUGGAAACAGCGUCUCUCCUUCGGGAGCCCUUGCACAGGUGCUGCAUGGCUGUCGUCAGCUCGUGUCGUGAGAUGUUGGGUUAAGUCCCGCAACGAGCGCAACCCUCGUUACUAGUUGCCAUCAGUUCGGCUGGGCACUCUAGUGAGACUGCCGGUGAUAAACCGGAGGAAGGUGAGGAUGAUGUCAAGUCAUCAUGGCCCUUACGCCCAGGGCUACACACGUGCUACAAUGGUCGGCACAAAGGGUCGCUAAGCCGCGAGGUGGAGCUAAUCCCAAAAAGCCGGCCUCAGUUCGGAUUGGAGUCUGCAACCCGACUCCAUGAAGGCGGAAUCGCUAGU
This 843-nucleotide ribosomal RNA is filed under the name uncultured organism. RNAcentral describes it as "bacterial SSU rRNA". It matches the Rfam family "Bacterial small subunit ribosomal RNA", at positions 498 to 1339 of the family's 1533-position model. The record is from RNAcentral.